Molecule: long non-coding RNA, 2057 nt
Organism: Harpia harpyja (harpy eagle)
Lineage: Eukaryota; Metazoa; Chordata; Aves; Accipitriformes; Accipitridae
Exons: 3
Source: RefSeq, a predicted model, not a curated record
UUCAGCGGCAGCGGAGCCCUCGGUUUGGCUGUGUGCUGCACAGCUGUAAUUCUCCUUUUGGACGUGACUUUUGGAAAGAAAACCUCCUUCAUUCUUCUGUUUCUGCCAAUCUACUUCUGUGAGGCACUGCCACCCUCCCUUAGAGGAUUAAAGAAGAGAACAGUGUGCACCCUUGGAACAUGAGAUAAACUGGUAAAAGCCACCCGUCCUUGCUGAACAUGCUUGUUCUGCGUCAAAACUGUGGGUGAUUUGACAGAGGGAAAAAAAUGAACGAAUGAUGAAGUUGUGGCAAUUCUGCUGCCAACAUGCUUUUAAAGAUGAACCGCAGAUAAAGUACUGCCCCUCCCAUCACGAUGUCACUUUGGUAGAGAUUACAAGAGCUGUACUCAGUUCACCUUGUUUUGAGCAAAUUUUCAGGGUUAAAAGAAUGCUAUCCAAAAGCAUCCGUGUGAGGACAGAUGCCAGGAUUAAGAGGAAAGGAGGUAAUCUGGAACAAAGUAUGUGGUUACUGCAGGAUGAAGAAAUUCUGCUUGGAAUUGCAGCUCGCAGCGAGUGACUCAUAUUGCACAAACAGCCGAGGUGUGGGUAGCAUUAGCAGACAAUUGCCUGUAAUGACUACCGCGUGCAACGUAAUGAAUGAAGCACCGAAUAGAGAGCUCUCUGCAAGUUGCAGCUAUGUGAAUGGCAAGCCUUUCAUUUUAAGCUAGAGCCCUGUAUCACAAAUAUUAGGUUUGAUAAACACGUUUUCAAGAUGUUUAAGUAUAUCCGUGAAUGGGGUACAGAACUGAGACAGCAGAUAUUGCACCUGAUUUCUAGAAUUUCAGUCUGGCUGUGGCAUUUUGAGACUCAAAAUGUACUUCUAUAAAGGCAAACAAUCAUUUCUGAAAGGUACAUUCCAUUUUGGGUUUGCUGUCAUGCACGGAAAGGAUGUGGCUAUUAUUUUUAUUCUGGUCCAAGCUCAUAUUUUCAGAUAUUCCAUGUAUAUCCUGCUGUUCGUAAAUGUUCUUCCACUAGCCACCUGCAGUAGCACUGCACAGAUUGUGAGCAAGAAGGGCUAUGUUCCUCUGGCACAAGUCAAAUACGCUGUGAUGGGGCACUAAGGACACUUGUGGCUGACAUCAGACGAGCAUCUGCGGUUCUCAAACCGUGUCUGGCCUGUCCACUGUCUGGGGCUGCCUGGCUAGCAGCUAGUGUGCAGUCAGUGGAAAGGAAUAGGUGAGCGCUUCAUUCUCGUGUCAAUAUAGCCCUUAGCAGUCGUGAUGAUGUUUGACAACUGAGCUGACAGUCUGCCAGGUGUUAUUUCAGGUGCAAGGGCCAUGCUUCGCAAAGGCUGGGCUCUGAAAUAGACCAAGGAAUACUGUGAAUUAUUCCUAGUCUCCUGUUUGAAGAAGUAUUUUAAAUACAGUAAUGAUUGUAUCUUAAUAAUCAGAUAUAUUUGUAAAGGCUUAUCAUGGAACCUGCACUUCUAAGGACAAUAACAGGCUAUAUAAUAAAUGAAGCACUGAAUUAGUAGACUUCUCUGCAAGACAUCUUUUAUGUGAAUGGGAAGCCUGUGAUUUGAAACUAAAGCUUUACCUUUGAUCUUGAUCCAAAAGUGUCCUGAGCGCUGUGUUGCAAGAUGUUUCUUGCAGUGCAGCCCAUCCCUUUGUGUCACCACCUUGGCUUAGCAGCUAACACAGGUCAGAUACUGAAACUGCAUUUACCGACAUCAGGGUGAGUCCUAUUAUCAAAGCAGCCCCCUGUGAGGCCAAACCAACAACAAAACCAGAAUUAUUAGCUUACAGGAACAGUGUAUUACCCAGCACCAGUUUUAUUUAGCCGAUUUCAAUCUAUUUUCCAGAUUUUGAAUAUGACCGCCUUUAGUUUCCACACCGAUUUUGAUCAUGCUGAGUUUUAGCCAAAUCUGAGUUGUUGCUCUUCUGCUAUGCCCCGAUCUCAGUGUCUGAUCUCUGUGUCUAUGCUACCUCGUACGUCCUGGGCACAGGUGUCCUGUCCAAACACCAGCUAAUGAACAUAGUCAGUCACCUUCUUCCCACUUACUUCGUUGAGGUACAAAA